UUUUCUGCCCCGAAUACAUUAGCAUGGGAUAAUGGAAUAGGACCCUGUCCUCCUAUUUUCAGUUGGUUUUGGCAGCGCGAGGACUAGGGUAAUGAUUAAUAGGGAUAGUUGGGGGCAUUAAUAUUUAAUUGUCAGAGGUGAAAUUCUUGGAUUUAUGAAAGAUUAACUUCUGCGAAAGCAUCUGCCAAGGAUGUUUUCAUUAAUCAAGAACGAAAGUUAGGGGAUCGAAGACGAUCAGAUACCGUCGUAGUCUUAACCAUAAACGAUGCCGACCAGCGAUUAGGAGACGUUGAAUACAAAACACCACCAUCGGCGCGGUCGUCCUUGGCGUCGGUCCUUC
Molecule: ribosomal RNA, 340 nt
Filed under: Acanthamoeba sp.
Lineage: Eukaryota; Discosea; Longamoebia; Acanthamoebidae
Description: SSU rRNA
Rfam family: Eukaryotic small subunit ribosomal RNA
Source: RNAcentral